Molecule: ribosomal RNA, 255 nt
Filed under: uncultured bacterium
Lineage: Bacteria
Description: partial 16S ribosomal RNA
Rfam family: Bacterial small subunit ribosomal RNA
Source: RNAcentral
UACGAAGGGGGCUAGCGUUGCUCGGAAUCACUGGGCGUAAAGGGUGCGUAGGCGGGUCUUUAAGUCAGGGGUGAAAUCCUGGAGCUCAACUCCAGAACUGCCUUUGAUACUGAAGAUCUUGAGUUCGGGAGAGGUGAGUGGAACUGCGAAGUGUAGAGGUGAAAUUCGUAGAUAUUCGCAAGAACACCAGUGGCGAAGGCGGCUCACUGGCCCGAUACUGACGCUGAGGCACGAAAGCGUGGGGAGCAAACAGGG